RNAcentral lists this ribosomal RNA (274 nucleotides) under uncultured bacterium. Its description in RNAcentral is "partial 16S ribosomal RNA". It matches the Rfam family "Bacterial small subunit ribosomal RNA", at positions 523 to 796 of the family's 1533-position model. The record is from RNAcentral.
AUACGGAGGGUGCAAGCGUUAUUCGGAAUCACUGGGCGUAAAGGACGCGUAGGCGGGUUGGCAAGUCAGAUGUGAAAUCCUACAGCUUAACUGUAGAACUGCAUUUGAAACUGCUAACCUAGAGUAUGGGAGGGGGAGAUGGAAUUAGUGGUGUAGGGGUAAAAUCCGUAGAUAUCACUAGGAAUACCGAAAGCGAAGGCGAUCUCCUGGAACAUAACUGACGCUAAGGCGUGAAAGCGUGGGGAGCAAACAGGAUGAGAAACCCCAGUAGUCC